RNAcentral lists this transfer RNA (75 nucleotides) under Bacillus subtilis. Its description in RNAcentral is "tRNA-Gly". It matches the Rfam family "tRNA". From Rfam's summary of the family: Transfer RNA (tRNA) molecules are approximately 80 nucleotides in length. Their secondary structure includes four short double-helical elements and three loops (D, anti-codon, and T loops). Further hydrogen bonds mediate the characteristic L-shaped molecular structure. tRNAs have two regions of fundamental functional importance: the anti-codon, which is responsible for specific mRNA codon recognition, and the 3' end, to which the tRNAs corresponding amino acid is attached (by aminoacyl-tRNA synthetases). tRNAs cope with the degeneracy of the genetic code in two manners: having more than one tRNA (with a specific anti-codon) for a particular amino acid; and 'wobble' base-pairing, i.e. permitting non-standard base-pairing at the 3rd anti-codon position. The record is from RNAcentral. Lineage: Bacteria; Bacillati; Bacillota; Bacilli; Caryophanales; Bacillaceae.
GCGGAAGUAGUUCAGUGGUAGAACACCACCUUGCCAAGGUGGGGGUCGCGGGUUCGACUCCUCUCGGGCGCGCCA